This 895-nucleotide ribosomal RNA is filed under the name human gut metagenome. Its description in RNAcentral is "bacterial SSU rRNA". It matches the Rfam family "Bacterial small subunit ribosomal RNA", at positions 344 to 1258 of the family's 1533-position model. The record is from RNAcentral.
GGAGGCAGCAGUGAGGAAUAUUGGGCAAUGGAGGCAACUCUGACCCAGCCAUGCCGCGUGAGUGAAGAAGGUUUUCGGAUUGUAAAGCUCUUUCGGAUGUGACGAUGAUGACGGUAGCAUCUAAAGAAGCCCCGGCUAACUUCGUGCCAGCAGCCGCGGUAAUACGAAGGGGGCGAGCGUUGUUCGGAAUUACUGGGCGUAAAGGGUGUGUAGGCGGUUAUGUAAGAUAGCGGUGAAAUCCCGGGGCUUAACCUCGGAAUAGCCGUUAUAACUAUGUAGCUAGAGUUAUGGAGAGGAUAGCGGAAUUCCCAGUGUAGCGGUGAAAUGCGUAGAUAUUGGGAAGAACACCGGUGGCGAAGGCGGCUAUCUGGCCAUAACUGACGCUGAGGCACGAAAGCAUGGGGAUCAAACAGGAUUAGAUACCCUGGUAGUCCAUGCUGUAAACGAUGAAUGCUAGUUGUCGGCUUUAGGGUCGGUGACGAAGUUAACGCGAUAAGCAUUCCACCUGGGGAGUACGGUCGCAAGAUUAAAACUCAAAGGAAUUGACGGGGACCCGCACAAGCGGUGGAGCAUGUGGUUUAAUUCGAUGCAACGCGAAGAACCUUACCAACUCUUGACAUCCUUAUCGGGGGGCGCAGAGAUGAGCCCUUUCAGUUAGGCUGGAUAAGUGACAGAUGCUGCAUGGCUGUCGUCAGCUCGUGUCGUGAGAUGUUGGGUUAAGUCCCGCAACGAGCGCAACCCCUGCUAUUAGUUGCCAGCGAGUAAAGUUGGGCACUCUGAUAGGACUGCCGGUGACAAGCCGGAGGAAGGUGGGGAUGAUGUCAAGUCAUCAUGGCCCUUACGAGUUGGGCUACACACGUGCUACAAUGGUAACUACAGAGGGAAGCGAGACCGC